AACUCAAAUUCGUGCAUGGCCCAUUCAUGGCCUCGCUGGCUACACUACAGUGCAGAAGGACUUGCUAAUAGCUGGUGCUGCUCAUCUGAAACCUGAGUGAUUCUUUUAAGGGCAAGUUACAUUU
Molecule: non-coding RNA, 124 nt
Organism: Podarcis lilfordi (Lilford's wall lizard)
Lineage: Eukaryota; Metazoa; Chordata; Lepidosauria; Squamata; Lacertidae
Source: the annotation of a GenBank genome assembly